This 420-nucleotide ribosomal RNA is filed under the name uncultured bacterium. RNAcentral describes it as "bacterial SSU rRNA". It matches the Rfam family "Bacterial small subunit ribosomal RNA", at positions 356 to 773 of the family's 1533-position model. The record is from RNAcentral.
GAGGAAUAUUGGUCAAUGGGCGAGAGCCUGAACCAGCCAAGUCGCGUGAGGGAAGACGGCCCUAUGGGUUGUAAACCUCUUUUAGAUGGGAGUAAAGUGUUCUACGCGUAGGAUAUUGCAAGUACCAUCAGAAUAAGCAUCGGCUAAUUCCGUGCCAGCAGCCGCGGUAAUACGGAAGAUGCGAGCGUUAUCCGGAUUUAUUGGGUUUAAAGGGUGCGUAGGCGGGUGAUUAAGUCAGCGGUGAAAUGCGUCAGCUUAACUGGCGAACUGCCAUUGAAACUGGUUGCCUUGAGUGUAGCGGAAGUAUGCGGAAUGCGUGGUGUAGCGGUGAAACGCAUAGAUAUCACGCAGAACUCCGAUUGCGAAGGCAGCAUACCAUACUAUAACUGACGCUGAAGCACGAAAGCGUGGGUAUCGAAC